CUGGUACAGGCGUAGAGGGGAUGAACGAUGAAAUUUUGAUAUUUCUCUACACGUAGUAGUUUAAAACUGAUGCGCGCCGCCAAUUUGAAAACUUAUCGCUCAAAAGCCGAGAUAGUUUUGAAAUGAAUCUUUAACACGACGGAAUCUUUAACACCUUUAAUCUUCAGUCUUUUCUGAAAAUGUAUCAAAACUAUCAAUUCUCUGAAUCAUAUUAUGGAUAAGUAUUGGGGAAUAAAAUUCUAUACCUCUACUCUAAUAUAUAAGGGUGUUAUUGAAUCAAUAAUUACUUAUGCGGCUGAUAGCUGGGGUUAUACUGUCCAAAAGGAAUAAUUCAGUUCAAAGACUCGCUCUUAUAAAAAUAUGUAGAACCUAUAGGACAGCAUCAACAAAUGUCCUUCGAGUCAUAUCUGGUAUCAUACCCAUAAAUUUACGUAUAAAACAAAUUUAUUGGGUUAACAAAAUUUAUUAUGUCAAUAAAUAUAUGAACAACACGGAUUAUAAAAACAUUAUUGGUAAUAUUAAUAAUAAUAAUGACAAAAAAAACCUAAUUUAUAUGGCUUGAAAAUUUUGAUUUAGAAAAAAAAAAAAACAAUUUAAUAAUAAUAUACAUCCUGC
This 615-nucleotide long non-coding RNA is filed under the name Androctonus crassicauda. Lineage: Eukaryota; Metazoa; Arthropoda; Arachnida; Scorpiones; Buthidae. The record is from RNAcentral.